GCUGGGGCAGGGGCAGCCAGCCUGCCAAAAACAAACCCCCGUGGGGGGAGCAAAGGUGGGGCUGCAGAACACCAGCUGCUUUGGGCUGCAGGCCAGGAAAGGCUUGGGCUGCCUUGGCUUAGGAGCCUUUCUUUGGGCCAAUGCAGCAGGCCAGGGAGAAGGCCUGGGUUUUCCUUAGCUGGAGGAGGUGGGGUUUUUCUUUGGCCUGGAGGGGUUGGGCCUUCCUCAGAACCCUGACAGAAUGUUAACAUUUUACCUUUUUGUCUUGUUUCCACUUUUUGUUUGUAAUCUCUUGUCAUGAAUUUGUUGUUUGUUUUCGAGGGAAGAGUUGGAGCUGGUGCCCAGUCUGGAUUGGGAAGGGCUGGGAUCAUCCCUGGAGAGGAUCUGACGUCCCCUCUGAGAAGGCUGAGGACAUCCUUUGGGACACGCUCUUCUUCCAGCAGCAGAUCUUGUGAGACAGGACACCUCUGCCUGAUCUCCCACAGGUCUGAGGGAUCUCUGGAUCUUCACGCCAGCACCAGGACUUUGCUGGAGAAGAGCACAGAUCCCCAGCCCAGUCUGGGACACAGAACCCUGUGAAAUGGCAGAAGGAUUGUGGUGUGAAUGCAGCGCCCUCAGAGCCCUUGGUGUGAGCCCGGAAAGGAAAAUCAAGGGAAAUGGUUAAAGCCUUGUUGUUCAAUGUGGAGCACAGGAGAACUUUGUUCUCAUUGUCUCCCCGAUAAGGAGGAGGACUCAGAUCUUCUGGUUGGCCCCACGGGCAGGUUGAGUGGGGGAACAGAAAAUCAAGAUGCAGAAACCAAUCUUGCAGGGGAACUGGCAUGUGAAGAGGCAGAUUUAGCAUGUCCAGAAGGAAAGGGAGAGAGAAUGUGUCAGAGAGAGAGCAGAGAGCUUCAGUGCAGCUGCAGGAAGAACUAGAGCUGAACAAGGAGGGGUGGGAGUGGCCCCCCUGUGUGAUAGAACCCAGACUAAAUGGCAAAAGCCUUCAAAAUGAUGAUUCAAACCCAGGAUCUGGGCUAGAAGGAUCCUAUGUUAGAAGUGUUGUUUGGUAGUAGGGAGAAAGCAAUGGUUGUUAAAACUAGUCAGAGGUUUUUGGAAGAGCAGAUUUUGGUGGGGAAUAUACAGAGUACAUUGGACAUUCCCUUUCCCACUGCAGAUCCUGAAUGGGAUCCUAACAUCCCUAUUUUUAGAGAAAGGUUCAAUAGAUACCUGCAGUGGAUGUUAUCUGGAAUGAAACAUGCCAGGCCAAAGGCAAUGAACACAUCAAAAUUCUUUGCAAUGAAGCAGGAUCACAGGGAAUAGCCUACUGAAUUUUUAAAUCAUCUGGAAGAAACAGCACAAAAAUAUACUUAUAUCCAUCCUGAAACACGGGGGGAAGGACUCAACUGGCCCCCAUAUUUGUGGGGCAGUCCUCAGAUGUGGUUAGGAGGGAAUGACAAAAAGCUGAGGGACAAGAUCAAUCUAAUUUAGGGACAUUGUUGGAGGUUGGGAGAAUCAGCAGGAAUCAACUCAGCAGGAAGGAGUUGCAGUUCUGGAAGAAAUCCCCGAGGAAAUGGUGCCCCCAGGGAGAGGAAGAGGAUAAGAGCAUGGGCAGCCUGCUUCAAACAUCCCCCCCAGGAGACUUGGUAUCAAUCCCUGUGCAUCCUGUAAGAAAGCUGGACACUGGAAAUGGGAUUGUCCACAACUGAAACUUCAGAACCCUCCCAACCCUCUCCUGGCAUCACUGAAGACGACUGAGGGGGCACCAGAGGAUUCUUCCCCAUCAGAACAUCUGGUUCCAGCCAAGCUAAGGACAAUUGGUUGUGGCUGUGGGAACUUGUUCCCCUGUGUUAAAUAAGGGAAAAUGAAACUCAAGUCACAAUUCUGGAACAAUUGUCUGGUGUGCCAGGGAAUUGGCAAACUGGGCCAUUUUUAAUGCUGUGGAUUUGAAAUUGGGAAAACAGUGGUUGGCUCCCCAGUGUUUGUAUUUCCCCAAUUCCCCAAAGCCUCUGCCUGGGAGAGAUCUCUUGGAAAAAUUAAAUGCCACAAUCCAAUUGAAAAAUGGUAAAAUGUAGGUUAUUAUUGCAGAGCCUAAUUCUGUGGAAGAUUCUAGUUUUGCAUGAGAGUCUCCAAAAGCAGAACUAAUCCAUCUGCCAACGUCACUUGGGGAUGCAGUGAUUCCAAUAGGAUGGGCUGGAGAGGUGCCCCCAUGAUCCAAAAGAGCAGAACUGUGAGAAUUCCAGUGAAACCUGGAGCAGGGUUGGUCAGGCCAAAGCAAUAGCCUUUGAAAAUGGAAAGUUGUGAGGGAUUCUCACUCUCUGUAGAAAAAUUGAUGAAAUUUUGCUUGUUAAAAGAAUGUGAAUCUAAAUGGAAUGCUCCAAUUUUGCCAGUCAAGCAGGCAAAUGGAAGGCUAUCCCAGUUAGUCCAAGACCUCAGAGCUAUAAAUAAUAGAGUAGAAGAUAUACAAGCAGUUGUAGCAAAUCCUUACACUUUGCUAACUCCCCUAAAUGAAAGUUUAAUGUUUCACAGUAUUAGAUUUGAAAGCUGCCUUUUUCUGUCUCCCUUUGAGUUGUGAAAGUCAAGAGCUUUUUGCUUUCAAAUGGGAAAAUCCAAAGACAGGGAGGAAAACCCAGCUGACUUUGGUGGUCCUCCUGCAGGUGAUGCCAGCUCAGCUGAUGCUAAGGAAAAACCUCAGGAGCAGUUAAUUGAGUGUGAGAUAAGGAAAGGGUUUGAUUUGUGCCAAGGCACAGAUGUUACAGGAUGCAUGCCCGCUGUGCCUGAGAUGUUACAUUUUAUAAUACUACCUGUCCAACCCCAAGUGUUUCCAGCCCGUAGCCUUUGCUCUGGUCUGCCCCGGGCCCACUCCCUGGGAAUUGAGUCUGGGGUGCAUUUCGGGACCCUCUCUUCAUCACCAUCACCAUCCUCAGAGCACAAAGGGUACACGGUCACCCAGUUCUUGACUCUGUUCUGUUGUUCAGGCCAAGAUAGGAGUGUUCUCUAAACAGCAUAGGCCUUGCCUUGACAAGAGACUAAACAUUUCUACUGAAUUCAGGGGUAGGAUUGAUAUGGGGAGCAUGGAAUGGGGUAGGAGGGUUUAGGAAUGUGUAAACUAAAGGGUGCUAAAGGGUGAGGAAUACAAUAUAGCUACUUCUAAAAUUACUUCUACUAUAAUUACAUAUAAAGCUUAUAAAAAUUAACAAAGUCAAAAAAAAAACUAAAUAGGGCUUAAGGCAUCACAGGGGUUUAAAAAUAUCCCCCCAAUAUUUGGAACUCAAUUGGCAAAGGAUCUGGAGGAAUGGAAAAGUCAAAACCCUCUUGGAGCCUUGUUCCAGUGUGUGGAUAUUUUGAUAGCCACUGAUGCUGAGCAGCAAUGUUGGGAUCAGACACUAUGGAAUUUCCUUGGACUGGGUGGAUAUGGGGUGUCCCAAACACAAAGUGCAAGUAGUCCAGACCCCAGGAGCCUCCCUGGGCUUUGGAAUUCUCCAAGGACAAUGGAGGCUGGGCCAGGAACAAAAGAAGCAACCUGUCAACUGCCCCAGCACCAGCAAAGGAAGCCCAGAGCGGGAUUGCUUCCAGACUAGAGGAGAAGUGUAUUGGGGCAGAGCUGACUUAGGAGACAGCCCCUGGGAAAGUCCUGGUUGGGAAUUGUUUCCCAGUGGGGGCAGCUUUGUCCAGCGUGGAAAACAAUUCUCUGGAUGCACAGGAACUCCCCCCAGCAGGUCAUGGAAUUGGGGGCACUCCUCUGCAGUGCCUCAGCCCAGAAAGCAGAACCAACUGUGCUCACUCCAGCUUUGGAAUUGAGUCAAGGAGAACAAGUUAAUCCUUGGACUUGCUUGAAGAUCUCCAGAAACCAACAGAGGUUGCUGUCCUGCACUGCAGAGUGCACCAAGAGGGGGAGACCAAAGCAGAACUGGGGAAUCAUUUGGCCCAUAAUUCUGCCAAAGAGGCUGCAGAAAAAGGCACUUUAGAGAGUAAAGUUUUGUCUUUAAUAACCCUGACAGAGAUACCUCUCCCAGUAGAAAAAAAUUAGUCUAGUGCUAAGGAUUGUCAGCUCAUUGAAACCUUAGAGCAAAAUUUGCUCCAGGAGGCUGGGCAGUUACCCCAGGUGGGCAAAUAAUAGUCCCUGAACCAGUCUGGUGUGACCUGGUGGAUGGGGAACAUGAGGGUAUUCCUUGGAGUGAAGCAAAUCAUUGAAACAUUUGCACAAGUAGGUUAUAAGUCCAAAACUGCCCCCAGUUGUACAAGCAGUGAAUCAGCAGUGUGGUGUGUGAGAGAAAUGAUCCAACCCCUGCCAAUGCAGUGGGAACAGGUGAUGUAAAGUGUAGAAAUGUUCCAGGUGAAUGUUGGCAGAUGGAUUUGACUGAAUUGCCCAGAAAAGGGGGGUGUAAAGAUCUCCUAGUCUUGGGGGAUACCUUCUCUGGGUGGCCAGAGGUUUUCCUUGUUGCACUAAGAAAGUUUGGAAAGAGACUGCAAUCCUGUUCAAUGCAAUCCUCCCUGUAUUUGGGAUGCCUUUGGGAAUGUCAUCAGAGGUUACCACUUGACUGUAGAAACAAAAUGCUUCACUCUUGUUUUGCUCUUCUGAACACAGUUCAAACACUGUUGACAUGGGAGGAAAAUUUACAUCUCUUUUUAGUGCCAAAGGUGAUCCAAGUGUUGUCUAAAAGUGUCUGUAUUAAGUAAGCAAGACUCUGUAAUGAAUCUGUAAACUGUGUGUGUAAUGUAAAGCCCUGUCUGGCUGUCCCUGAAGUGCUGAGGCUGAACAACAGCCCCUGAGCCAAAGCUGAGCUCCAGAUGAACCUCCCAACCUAAUGGGCUGUGUCUCCAUGUAUCUGCUCAUCAGCUAAAACUGGGUCUAUUUGUUGGUACAAAUGUGCUGUGAUGGGACUCCACCUGUGUAUCUGCUCCUGAACAGACAGGUGUGCUUAUUAGUCAGAUCUGUUAGUCUGGGCUCAUUAGUGAAUCCUGUUUGUACCUGUUCAUUAACGAAAUAUGUCUGAUUGUGAGCAAAA
This is a long non-coding RNA of Pseudopipra pipra, 4985 nucleotides long. RefSeq lists it as uncharacterized. The record is from RefSeq and is a predicted model, not a curated record. Lineage: Eukaryota; Metazoa; Chordata; Aves; Passeriformes; Pipridae. The transcript has 3 exons.